CUCCAGACUCCUACGGGAGGCAGCAGUGGGGAAUAUUGCACAAUGGGGGAAACCCUGAUGCAGCGACGCCGCGUGAGCGAUGAAGUAUUUCGGUAUGUAAAGCUCUAUCAGCAGGGAAGAAAAUGACGGUACCUGACUAAGAAGCCCCGGCUAACUACGUGCCAGCAGCCGCGGUAAUACGUAGGGGGCAAGCGUUAUCCGGAUUUACUGGGUGUAAAGGGAGCGUAGACGGCAAUGCAAGCCAGAUGUGAAAGCCCGGGGCUCAACCCCGGGACUGCAUUUGGAACUGUGUAGCUGGAGUGUCGGAGAGGCAGGCGGAAUUCCUAGUGUAGCGGUGAAAUGCGUAGAUAUUAGGAGGAACACCAGUGGCGAAGGCGGCCUGCUGGACGAUGACUGACGUUGAGGCUCGAAAGCGUGGGGAGCAAACAGGAUUAGAUACCCGCGUA
Molecule: ribosomal RNA, 446 nt
Filed under: uncultured bacterium
Lineage: Bacteria
Description: bacterial SSU rRNA
Rfam family: Bacterial small subunit ribosomal RNA
Source: RNAcentral